CAGUACUACUCCGUCUUCCCUCUGCUAGACUUACGUCGCGGACUGCUCCGGACACCCUCCUCCGCCUCGCCGUUGACCACCGCCUCAGCACCAUCAGGCACCGCCUCUACACUAUCCCCAACCUCCACUGGCCUCUCUUCCAUUGCCGGCCUUCGAUUCCUUGCCCUUCGACACUCAAACAGAUAUUUGAAACGAAGGCUACUGACGCCAAACCAGGUACGCCGACGUCGUCCAGAUUAUUACGGUAGUCGCCGCUGAACGAAAGCUGCUAUCAAUCGAAGUUGCUGCUCGGAGAAGAAACUGUCCGGCCACCGCCUCCGGAAUUGCUGCGGGGUGAGUUCAUUCUUUAAUUCUCGAUUAUACAUCCCUUUAUACUGGUCAGCUCCCAACAAUAUCUCCUUCCUCUACCAAUUCAGCCACACAAGAAACCUUUGAUCUUGGAUCCUAUUCGCCAUAUCCUACGAACUGUGUAAGUAAGGAUUUUUCGGAACUGUGUUUUCUCUCCCGUGCGAAAACCAUAAAACACUUCCUGGCUUGACUCUCUCUGCUAUUUCAAACAUCUCACUUUCUCAUUUGUUCUUCAUAUAUACACGUGUGUAUCUCCCCGGUGAUUUGCCGCUUGGUUUUAAGUUUUUCGAGUCGGAAUCGGGCUGCUUUUUGCUGUUUUCUAUUGCUUCCCCCAAAUUCUACUGCUUUCUUGCAACGAUUACUUAGGGUACCAGCAACGACUCCAUGGUUACUCUCUCUCCUCGUCGACGGCAGCAGCCGGAAGCAGUGCAAGCUGGCAACUUUCGACGGUGGCGGCGGACCAGCGUCGGCGGUAGCGGACCAGCGUCGGCGGUAGCGGAAUGGGGCAGUGGCGCGGCUGGACCUCUCCUCCGGCCUUCCUCUUCUGUCGUCGAAUGAAUGGCUAUUGGCUAGAAAGUCAAUUAAACUGCUUAAAUGGUUGCCACAUCUACAAAACAAAACAAGUGUCUGCCUAAUCACUUCCACAUCAUCAAGUUAUUACCUUUAACUUGAAGGCUACCUGUAAAAAAGGCUAGGCGAACAAUUUUUUUUGGUUUGUGAACCAAAUAAUCACUUAUGUAAGAUUAGGGUGCGGCAUGACAUUUUGCUAUUGGUUCAUGAUGCUAUUUGACACUUCACCCUAUUUUAAAUUGUAUAUUGAUGUAAUUAAGUCAAUUAAUUAGCUACUUUUUGUUAUUAA
This is a long non-coding RNA of Ipomoea nil (Japanese morning glory), 1207 nucleotides long. RefSeq lists it as uncharacterized. The record is from RefSeq and is a predicted model, not a curated record. NCBI's taxonomy places the organism in Eukaryota, Viridiplantae, Streptophyta, Magnoliopsida, Solanales, Convolvulaceae. The transcript has 2 exons.